This 1065-nucleotide long non-coding RNA is filed under the name Cricetulus griseus (Chinese hamster). Its description in RNAcentral is "lncRNA (ENSCGRG00015031022.1)". Lineage: Eukaryota; Metazoa; Chordata; Mammalia; Rodentia; Cricetidae. The record is from RNAcentral.
GGUGGCAAAAAAAGCUCAACCAGGAGACAUUUUUGCCUUCUUGGAAGGUAAUGCUCCUAUAUAGAGCAACGGGACUCAUCUCUAAGGAGCCCGAAGUCAGGCGCCCACUUGUCUUCUCGCAGGAUUGCCAUAGACUUUUUCUGUGUGCCCACCAUUCCAGACUGAAGUAGAGAUGGCAGUGGCAGAGACUGGGAAGGCUGCAACGAAAACAGGAAGUUAUUGCACCCUGGGAAUAGUCUGGAAAUGAAGCUUCAAAACUUGCUUCAUGUUCAGUUGUACACAGACUCACUCCCAGGUUGACUCACACGUGUAAAUAUUCCUGACUAUGUCUGCACUGCUUUUAUCUGAUGCUUCCUUCCCAAAAUGCCAAGUGUACAAGGUGAGGGAAUCACCCUUGGAUUCAGAGCCCAGGGUCGUCCUCCUUAACCUGGACUUGUCUUUCUCCGGCAGCCUCUGACACCCCUCCCCCCAUUUUCUCUAUCAGAAGGUCUGAGCAGAGUUGGGGCACGCUCAUGUCCUGAUACACUCCUUGUCUUCCUGAAGAUCUAACUUCUGACCCAGAAAGAUGGCUAAGGUGGUGAAGUGUUUGACAUGAAGACUUGGUCUUAAGAACUGGAGCAGGGGAAAAAAGUCGGAUGUGGCAGCAUGUACCCGAAAUCCCAGAACUGGGGAGGUAGAGAUGGAUGAGUGCCCGGGGCUAGCUGGCUGCUCAGCCAGCCUAGCUGAAUUGCCAAAUUCCAACUCCUAUUGAAAAACCUUUACCAAACAAACAAACAAACAAAUAAUAACAACAACAACAACAACAAACUACCCCAUACAAGGUGGGCGGCUCUUGGCUCUUGAGGAAUGACUCACCCAAACCCAAAGCUUGCCACAGCUGUUCUCUGGCCUAAAUGGGGUGGGGGGGGCAGAGACAGAGACAGAGAGAGACAUGACUUCCUGGGCUGGGCUGUGUGCUCUAGGCCACCAGGAACUUUCCUGUCUUGCUCUCUGUCUGGCACAGCCAGAGCACCAGCACCCAGCAGGUGCACACACCUCCCUCCGUGCUUCUUGAGCAAACACAGG